AUAUCAAUAAGCGGAGGAAAAGAAACCAACAGGGAUUGCCCUAGUAACGGCGAGUGAAGCGGCAACAGCUCAAAUUUGAAAUCUGGCUCUUUCAGAGUCCGAGUUGUAAUUUGCAGAGGGCGCUUUGGCUUUGGCAGCGGUCCAAGUUCCUUGGAACAGGACGUCACAGAGGGUGAGAAUCCCGUACGUGGUCGCUAGCUAUUGCCGUGUAAAGCCCCUUCGACGAGUCGAGUUGUUUGGGAAUGCAGCUCUAAAUGGGAGGUAAAUUUCUUCUAAAGCUAAAUAUUGGCCAGAGACCGAUAGCGCACAAGUAGAGUGAUCGAAAGAUGAAAAGCACUUUGGAAAGAGAGUCAAACAGCACGUGAAAUUGUUGAAAGGGAAGCGCUUGCAGCCAGACUUGCUUGCAGUUGCUCAUCCGGGCUCUUGCCCGGUGCACUCUUCUGCAGGCAGGCCAGCAUCAGUUUGGGCGGUGGGAUAAAGGUCUCUGUCACGUACCUCUCUUCGGGGAGGCCUUAUAGGGGAGACGACAUACCACCAGCCUGGACUGAGGUCCGCGCAUCUGCUAGGAUGCUGGCGUAAUGGCUGUAAGCGGCCCGUCUUGAAACACGGACCAAGGAGUCUAACAUCUAUGCGAGUGUUUGGGUGUCAAGCCCGAGCGCGUAAUGAAAGUGAACGGAGGUGGGAACCCGCAAGGGCGCACCAUCGACCGAUCCUGAAGUUUACGGAAGGAUUUGAGUAAGAGCAUGGCUGUUGGGACCCGAAAGAUGGUGAACUAUGCUUGAAUAGGGUGAAGCCAGAGGAAAC
This 804-nucleotide small RNA is filed under the name Dichotomophthora lutea. Its description in RNAcentral is "eukaryotic LSU rRNA". It matches the Rfam family "Eukaryotic large subunit ribosomal RNA", at positions 40 to 862 of the family's 3401-position model. Lineage: Eukaryota; Fungi; Ascomycota; Dothideomycetes; Pleosporales; Pleosporaceae. The record is from RNAcentral.